GCCAGCUUAGCUCAGUUGGUAGAGCAACGCACUCGUAACGCGUAGGCCACAGGUUCGAUCCCUGCAGCUGGCA
RNAcentral lists this transfer RNA (73 nucleotides) under Enterococcus villorum. RNAcentral describes it as "tRNA-Thr". It matches the Rfam family "tRNA". From Rfam's summary of the family: Transfer RNA (tRNA) molecules are approximately 80 nucleotides in length. Their secondary structure includes four short double-helical elements and three loops (D, anti-codon, and T loops). RNAcentral also lists the same sequence under 1 other name. The record is from RNAcentral. Lineage: Bacteria; Bacillati; Bacillota; Bacilli; Lactobacillales; Enterococcaceae.